UACGGAGGGGGCUAGCGUUGUUCGGAAUUACUGGGCGUAAAGCGCACGUAGGCGGAUUGCUAAGUCAGGGGUGAAAUCCUGGAGCUCAACUCCAGAACUGCCCUUGAUACUGGCGGUCUCGAGUCCGGGAGAGGUGAGUGGAACUGCGAGUGUAGAGGUGAAAUUCGUAGAUAUUCGCAAGAACACCAGUGGCGAAGGCGGCUCACUGGCCCGGUACUGACGCUGAGGCACGAAAGCGUGGGGAGCAAACAGG
Molecule: ribosomal RNA, 253 nt
Filed under: uncultured bacterium
Lineage: Bacteria
Description: partial 16S ribosomal RNA
Rfam family: Bacterial small subunit ribosomal RNA
Source: RNAcentral